UCCCUAGUGGCUCAGCUGGUAAAGAAUCUGCCUACAAUGCAGGAGAUCCAGGUUCAAUCCCUGGCUGGGGAA
This is a transfer RNA of Ovis aries (sheep), 72 nucleotides long. It matches the Rfam family "tRNA". Rfam says of the family: Transfer RNA (tRNA) molecules are approximately 80 nucleotides in length. Their secondary structure includes four short double-helical elements and three loops (D, anti-codon, and T loops). Further hydrogen bonds mediate the characteristic L-shaped molecular structure. tRNAs have two regions of fundamental functional importance: the anti-codon, which is responsible for specific mRNA codon recognition, and the 3' end, to which the tRNAs corresponding amino acid is attached (by aminoacyl-tRNA synthetases). tRNAs cope with the degeneracy of the genetic code in two manners: having more than one tRNA (with a specific anti-codon) for a particular amino acid; and 'wobble' base-pairing, i.e. permitting non-standard base-pairing at the 3rd anti-codon position. NCBI's taxonomy places the organism in Eukaryota, Metazoa, Chordata, Mammalia, Artiodactyla, Bovidae. The record is from Rfam.